Molecule: long non-coding RNA, 503 nt
Organism: Ficedula albicollis (Collared flycatcher)
Lineage: Eukaryota; Metazoa; Chordata; Aves; Passeriformes; Muscicapidae
Exons: 3
Source: RefSeq, a predicted model, not a curated record
ACAGCUGCCGCUCAGGGAGGCCGCCAUCCCAGGGAGGGCCAAGCUGCUGAAGCCUUCCCUCUCCAAUGGGUCCGUAAAUAUUAACCCCUUCUUCCCAGAAUUUCUAACUAUUGAAAGGUAAUCUAAUUAUUGAGAGCUGAGUAACGUACCAAGGGAAAAACAAGAUGCCAAGACCCCAUUGAGCAUUUGGCCUCGGCAUUUUCUAAGUGUAGUUUGAACAUGAAGGGUUUUUUUUUCCCUUAUUACAAACCUUUCUGCACCUAAUUCCCUCAUUAUACCACAAAAUAUUUUUUUUUUCUGGAAGACAUCAAUCUUUUCCCUCACACUCGAUAUGAAACUCAGCUACAGAACAAAAGGCCACUUAACACUACUGGAAUCUUAGUGGAUCAGUCAGACCCAUCUUAAAUUCUGGGAUUUGACCACAGGCUUGUUUCCUCUGAGAUAUAACUAGCAGAAAUCUGAAGUCAAUACCAGGUGGAGGUCAUCCCCUUCAAGCCAGUGAG